Molecule: ribosomal RNA, 267 nt
Filed under: uncultured bacterium
Lineage: Bacteria
Description: partial 16S ribosomal RNA
Source: RNAcentral
CUGCUGCCUUCCGUAGGAGUUUGGACCGUGUCUCAGUUCCAAUGUGGGGGACCUUCCUCUCAGAACCCCUACUGAUCGUCGCCCCGGUGGGCCGUUACCCCGCCGGCAAGCUAAUCAGACGCAUCCCCAUCCUUUACCGGCCGAAGCCUUUGGUCAUGAAAAUAUGCAUCAACAUGACAACAUACGGCAUUAAUCCGCCUUUCGGCGGGCUGUCCCAUAGUAAAGGGCAGGUUGGAUACGCGUUACUCACCCGUGCGCCGGUUGCCA